GAUGAAGAACGCAGCGAAAUGCGAUAAGUAAUGUGAAUUGCAGAAUUCAGUGAAUCAUCGAAUCUUUGAACGCACCUUGCGCCCUUUGGCUAUUCCGAAGGGCAUGCCUGUUUGAGUAUCAUGAACACCUCAACCCUCAUGGUUUGCCAUGUGGGCUUGGACCUUGGGGGUCUUGCUGGAUUGUAGUCAGCUCCCCUUAAAUGAAUCAGCUUGCCAGUGUCUGGUGGCAUCACAGGUGUGAUAAUUAUCUACGCUUGUGGUUUUACAUCAGGUAACCUUCAGAGAUGGGGGUUCACUGGGGCUUACAAAAGGUCUCUCCUCAGUGAGGACAGCUCUUUGAAUGUUUGAUCUCAAAUCAGGUAGGACUACCCGCUGAACUUAAGCAUAUCAAUAAGCGGAGGA
This 402-nucleotide unclassified non-coding RNA is filed under the name soil metagenome. RNAcentral's name for it is "partial contains 5.8S ribosomal RNA, internal transcribed spacer 2, and large subunit ribosomal RNA". The stretch from base 1 to 121 matches the Rfam family "5.8S ribosomal RNA", at positions 35 to 154 of the family's 154-position model. The record is from RNAcentral.